This 133-nucleotide small RNA is filed under the name Klebsiella sp. RNAcentral describes it as "RtT sRNA". It matches the Rfam family "RtT RNA". From Rfam's summary of the family: This family represents a bacterial cis-regulatory element known as RtT RNA. The exact function of RtT is unknown although it is thought that it may be involved in changing the cellular response in relation to amino acid starvation. The record is from RNAcentral. RNAcentral also lists the same sequence under 11 other names. Lineage: Bacteria; Pseudomonadati; Pseudomonadota; Gammaproteobacteria; Enterobacterales; Enterobacteriaceae.
UAUUCUACCCUACGGGGAAGGAUGAGAAGCUUCGACUAAGGUUCGACUCGAGCGCCAGCGAGAGAACGUUGCCGCAGGCAACGGCCCGAAGGGCGAGGAGCGAUAGCGACGAGUUAUCCUUCCCCCACCACCA